GACGAACGCUGGCGGCGUGCUUAACACAUGCAAGUCGAACGGAAAGGCCCUGCUUUUGCGGGGUGCUCGAGUGGCGAACGGGUGAGUAACACGUGAGUAACCUGCCCUUGACUGUGUGAUAACUUCAGGAAACUGGGGCUAAUACCGGAUAGGAGCUCCUGCUGCAUGGGGGGGGUUGGAAAGUUUCGGCGGUUGGGGCUGGACUCGCGGCUUAUCAGCUUGUUGGUGGGGUAGUGGCUUACCAAGGCUUUGACGGGUAGCCGGCCUGGGAGGGUGACCGGCGACAUUGGGCCUGAGAUACGGCCCAGAAGCGUACGGGAGGCAGCGGUGGGGAAUCUUGCACAACGGGCGGACGCCAGAUGCGGAGAUGCCGCGUGCGGGAUGCCGGGUUUCGGGUUGUAAACCGCUUUCGCAUGUGACGAGGCGUGAGUGACGGUAAUGGGUAAAGAAGCACCGGCUAACUACGUG
RNAcentral lists this ribosomal RNA (468 nucleotides) under uncultured bacterium. RNAcentral describes it as "partial 16S ribosomal RNA". It matches the Rfam family "Bacterial small subunit ribosomal RNA", at positions 28 to 507 of the family's 1533-position model. The record is from RNAcentral.